CAGUCGCCACGGUAAUACGGAGGGUGCAAGCGUUAAUCGGAAUUACUGGGCGUAAAGCGCACGCAGGCGGUCUGUCAAGUCGGAUGUGAAAUCCCCGGGCUCAACCUGGGAACUGCAUCCGAAACUGGCAGGCUAGAGUCUUGUAGAGGGGGGUAGAAUUCCAGGUGUAGCGGUGAAAUGCGUAGAGAUCUGGAGGAAUACCGGUGGCGAAGGCGGCCCCCUGGACAAAGACUGACGCUCAGGUGCGAAAGCGUGGGGAGCAAACAGGAUUAGAUACCCCUGUAGUCCCUGUCUCUUAUAU
This 301-nucleotide ribosomal RNA is filed under the name uncultured bacterium. RNAcentral describes it as "partial 16S ribosomal RNA". It matches the Rfam family "Bacterial small subunit ribosomal RNA", at positions 509 to 809 of the family's 1533-position model. The record is from RNAcentral.